RNAcentral lists this ribosomal RNA (453 nucleotides) under uncultured bacterium. RNAcentral describes it as "bacterial SSU rRNA". It matches the Rfam family "Bacterial small subunit ribosomal RNA", at positions 8 to 507 of the family's 1533-position model. The record is from RNAcentral.
AGAGUUUGAUCCUGGCUCAGAACGAACGCUGGCGGCAUGCCUAACACAUGCAAGUCGAACGAGACCUUCGGGGUCUAGUGGCGCACGGGUGCGUAACGCGUGGGAACCUGCCUUUAGGUUCGGAAUAACUCAGAGAAACUUGAGCUAAUACCGGAUAAUGUCUUCGGACCAAAGAUUUAUCGCCUUUAGAUGGGCCCGCGUAAGAUUAGCUAGUUGGUGGGGUAAAGGCCUACCAAGGCGACGAUCUUUAGCUGGUCUGAGAGGAUGAUCAGCCACACUGGGACUGAGACACGGCCCAGACUCCUACGGGAGGCAGCAGUGGGGAAUAUUGGACAAUGGGCGAAAGCCUGAUCCAGCAAUGCCGCGUGAGUGAUGAAGGCCUUAGGGUUGUAAAGCUCUUUACCCGAGAUGAUAAUGACAGUAUCGGGAGAAUAAGCUCCGGCUAACUCCGUG